AGACAAGAAUAUUAUUAUAAUUUUAAGUUCUCAAAUAGCAUUUACAAAGUAUUUCGGGGUGCUACCGUCGUCAUGUGGUCAGUAUUUAUGCUGAGAAGAAUCAGUGUAAAGCUCAAAGAACGAGCUAUACGAGUGUUAAGCCUCUCGACAUCGAAAACGUAAAUGUGCAGAGAUGGUGCAGUAUUUGUGCCAGGAAUCUGUCUCCUAUAUCUCAGGGUCUGCCUGUUCUUGUCAAUGUUCUUUGCUCGGGUCCUGCUUAGGUCAUUAACAACAUUACUAACCACUGUUAGCAAAUUUUUUAAACAAUUUGUUUUUGCAAUGAAUACAAGGGUGCCUAUGCUACAAGCUACAACUCUUCCCGAGGAAAGGCAGAGAGAGAGA
This 381-nucleotide long non-coding RNA is filed under the name Helicoverpa zea (corn earworm). RNAcentral describes it as "uncharacterized LOC124643048". Lineage: Eukaryota; Metazoa; Arthropoda; Insecta; Lepidoptera; Noctuidae. The record is from RNAcentral.